UGCAGAAUCCCGUGAACCAUCGAGUUUUUGAACGCAAGUUGCGCCCGAAGCCAUCCGGCUGAGGGCACGCCUGCCUGGGCGUCA
Molecule: ribosomal RNA, 84 nt
Filed under: Lactuca serriola (prickly lettuce)
Lineage: Eukaryota; Viridiplantae; Streptophyta; Magnoliopsida; Asterales; Asteraceae
Also listed under: 2 other names
Description: partial 5.8S ribosomal RNA
Rfam family: 5.8S ribosomal RNA
About the family: 5.8S ribosomal RNA (5.8S rRNA) is a component of the large subunit of the eukaryotic ribosome. It is transcribed by RNA polymerase I as part of the 45S precursor that also contains 18S and 28S rRNA. Functionally, it is thought that 5.8S rRNA may be involved in ribosome translocation.
Source: RNAcentral